GGCUCGGUAGUGGACGGUCCACGCCCGCAUUUGAUUCUUGGAGAUCAUGAUUCAGUGGGACGCGCUUGUUCGACUUGAGCCCGAGCCA
Non-coding RNA from Mycena epipterygia, 88 nucleotides. Lineage: Eukaryota; Fungi; Basidiomycota; Agaricomycetes; Agaricales; Mycenaceae. The record is from the annotation of a GenBank genome assembly.